GAUGAACGCUAGCUACAGGCUUAACACAUGCAAGUCGAGGGGAAACGACAUCGAAAGCUUGCUUUUGAUGGGCGUCGACCGGCGCACGGGUGAGUAACGCGUAUCCAACCUGCCCAUCACUUGGGAAUAACCUUGCGAAAGUAAGACUAAUACCCAAUGACAUCCCACGAAGACAUCUGAAUGGGAUUAAAGAUUUAUCGGUGAUGGAUGGGGAUGCGUCUGAUUAGCUUGUUGGCGGGGUAACGGCCCACCAAGGCAACGAUCAGUAGGGGUUCUGAGAGGAAGGUCCCCCACAUUGGAACUGAGACACGGUCCAAACUCCUACGGGGGGCAGCAAUGAGGAAUAUUGGUCAAUGGGCGAGAGCCUGAACCAGCCAAGUAGCGUGCAGGAUGACGGCCCUAUGGGUUGUAAACUGCUUUUAUAAGGGAAUAAAGUGGGUCUCGUGAGACUUUUUGCAUGUACCUUAUGAAUAAGGACCGGCUAAUUCCGUG
This 492-nucleotide ribosomal RNA is filed under the name uncultured bacterium. Its description in RNAcentral is "partial 16S ribosomal RNA". It matches the Rfam family "Bacterial small subunit ribosomal RNA", at positions 28 to 507 of the family's 1533-position model. The record is from RNAcentral.